GUUAGAUCAACACAGUACAGAACUUCACAACACUGUUUAUUUUCAACACUUCGAUACUUGUCAGGAAAAUUGUUGGAAUCGACUUCCGGCGAGGUGGUCAGCUCCAACCAGGAGGGGAGGUGACUCGAUCAUCUGAGGCGCGGCUCUGUUCCUCGUCCCGAGGAACCAAUUUCAAGGGUGGCCAGGAAGCUGGAGCCACAUUCGCCACAACCUCCAUGUUUAAUUUGGUCAAACUGGAAGGCUCGAAACACUGCGCCACGUCUUUUCCCAGUGUCCCUGAUUCAAGAAGAUCAUCAUCAUCAAUUGGUGUUUCCUGGUGCUAGGCCAGGAAAAUGAUCAAUGCUUUGCAAUCUGGCCAUACCAUACACGAUCAUCAGGUGCACAGGAUGGUGGCGCGGCAUCAAUCGAAUGGCGAAGAGGAUGAAGAGCGAUAUGUUGGGCCUGCAGGACCCUCCACGACAAGCAACAUCAGAUGAUGAAGCGCAAAUGCGAGCAGUCUCAGUCCACCAACAGACUGCGAUCUGGAUUUUAGUCUCUUUCUGGUGGACGUCAGGAGCACAGUCUGAAGCCCCCAAUGGAGGAUCGGGCAGCGACUACCACACAAUUUAUUUGACUAGCCGAUCUCCAGCAGAAGGUCUGCCUCAACAACCGGGACAACCGCCUCCGCUGCCUUACUAAAAUCAGCAAGAAGACGCACUCAAAGCCCUAGUCCAGCAGGAGCCCUCCAGAAGGAGUAGCGGAUGCAGUCCGACCACGAGAAGGAAGCGGAGAGCAGCGACAAGACAGCGACGGUUCAAUAGAAGUACUGUCCUGCAAAACGGGAAGAAAUAUGUUCGCCGGAAAAGGAGAUGCAAAUGCCGCAGGGACUGCAUCUCUACUGGCAAUGCCGGCGGCGAAAGUGGCAACUGCCGCGGCUUAUGCCGCGGGAAUCUGAUUAACGACCAACUUAACAUCCAUCUUGACCGAUCUCGAAAGGAACUUCUUCCUAUUGAACCCACUCGACGUGGCCGUUUCUUUAGCAGGCCACUCUUCAUGUUCCGUUGGCCACUAGCUAAAAGUGGCUUGUUUUUCAUUGGAAGAAGCAUCAGCAUGGACUGAUGGACUGAUGGUAGGAGUUUGGUCCGAAUCCAAAGCGUUGACCACGUUCCAGGCCUAGGGACAGAAGACACUUGUAGAUGUUGAUGGUCUUCCUGGAUCAGUCCUCGCUGGAAGAAGUACUGGCGCAUCGUUCCGAUCCAGCCAGAUUGAACUUAUUGAACAUGGGGGGCUUCGCGUUUAUGGCUCCGGCUCCUUCUACACCUACAACUACUAUGUUUCACUCGGCAGAUACCUAAAAGGCAUAAAAGUGUGUGAAAGGAUUGCAAAUGUUUCGUUUCCUUUGUGCGUCUCCAAAUUAGAAUACCCGUGUGCCUGUGCCUUUGCCAGUGCCAGGGUAUGAAAAAGGAGUAUGCGCCUCAGGCGCACUUUCAACCACCCCAGGAGCAGGCUUUGCCACAGUCCCAGCCACAGCCACAGCAGCAGCCACAGCCGCACCACCCACAGCCGCAGGAGCAACAGCAGCAACAUAAUGGCAAUGAACUUCAUUGUUGGAGCUUGCAAUGAUUUCUUAGAGAUUCCCGGCCACUUUUAUACAAUUCCUGCAUCCGUACAAUUUAAUCCAGACCCGUUUUUUUAUGAACUGGGCUUUAACGCUUAUUGCUUGCUAAUAUAG
Long non-coding RNA from Drosophila persimilis, 1711 nucleotides. RefSeq lists it as uncharacterized. The transcript is spliced from 5 exons. Lineage: Eukaryota; Metazoa; Arthropoda; Insecta; Diptera; Drosophilidae. The record is from RefSeq and is a predicted model, not a curated record.